This is a non-coding RNA of Erinaceus europaeus (western European hedgehog), 358 nucleotides long. The record is from the annotation of a RefSeq genome assembly. Lineage: Eukaryota; Metazoa; Chordata; Mammalia; Eulipotyphla; Erinaceidae.
AUGUACAUGUGGCUCCUCUUCUGGGUGAACCUCUGUUUUCUGGGGGCAGGACACACAGACUCUGGAAUCACACAGAAGCCCAGCCACAGAGUCACAUGGAAGGGACAAGAGGUGACUCUGAGAUGCGAGCCAAUUUCGGGUCAUGGAUUUGUUUACUGGUACCGGAAGAAUCUGCAGCCAGAAUUAGAGUUUUCUGGUUUCUUUCCAGUACCAAAAGAUUAUAGCCCAGGCAGGGAUGCCCAAAGAAAGGCUCUCAGCUGAAAGACCCAACGGAACAUUCUCCACCUUCAGGUUCCAUCCUGCAGAGCUAGAAGACUCGUUGACAUAUCUCUGCUCCUCCCAAAAUCUAUCACAGUGA